CCAUGCUUCCUUGCAUUCAAUAGUAUAAUAUCAAGCAUAUGGAAUGUAAAGAAGUAUGGAG
RNAcentral lists this microRNA precursor (61 nucleotides) under Drosophila ananassae. Its description in RNAcentral is "Dan-Mir-1_pre stem-loop". It matches the Rfam family "mir-1 microRNA precursor family", at positions 10 to 70 of the family's 79-position model. Rfam says of the family: This family represents the microRNA (miRNA) mir-1 family. miRNAs are transcribed as ~70nt precursors (modelled here) and subsequently processed by the Dicer enzyme to give a ~22nt product. In this case the mature sequence comes from the 3' arm of the precursor. Lineage: Eukaryota; Metazoa; Arthropoda; Insecta; Diptera; Drosophilidae. The record is from RNAcentral.